CAGCACCUCAAGUGGUCAGGAUGAUUACUGGGCCUAAAGCAUCCGUAGCCGGCUCUGUAAGUUUUCGGUUAAAUCUGUACGCUCAACGUACAGGCUGCCGGGAAUACUGCAGCGCUAGGGAGUGGGAGAGGUAGACGGUACUCGGUAGGAAGGGGUAAAAUCCUUUGAUCUAUUGAUGACCACCUGUGGCGAAGGCGGUCUACCAGAACACGUCCGACGGUGAGGGAUGAAAGCUGGGGGAGCAAACCGGAUUAGAUACCCGAGUAGUCC
Molecule: ribosomal RNA, 270 nt
Filed under: uncultured archaeon
Lineage: Archaea
Description: partial 16S ribosomal RNA
Rfam family: Archaeal small subunit ribosomal RNA
Source: RNAcentral